UGGGGAAUAUUGCACAAUGGGCGCAAGCCUGAUGCAGCCAUGCCGCGUGUAUGAAGAAGGCCUUCGGGUUGUAAAGUACUUUCAGCGGGGAGGAAGGGAGUAAAGUUAAUACCUUUGCUCAUUGACGUUACCUACAGAAGAAGCACCGGCUAACUCCGUGCCAGCAGCCGCGGUAAUACGGAGGGUGCAAGCGUUAAUCGGAAUUACUGGGCGUAAAGCGCACGCAGGCGGUUGAUUGAGACAGAUGUGAAAUCCCCGGGCUUAACCCGGGAAUUGCAUCUGAUACUGGUCAGCUAGAGUCUUGUAGAGGGGGGGAGAAAUCCAUGUGUAGCGGUGAAAUGCGUAGAGAUGUGGGGGAAUACCGGUGGCGAAGGCGGCCCCCUGGACAAAGACUGACGCUCAGGUGCGAAAGCGUGGGGAGCAAACAGG
Molecule: ribosomal RNA, 429 nt
Filed under: Chloroflexota bacterium
Lineage: Bacteria; Bacillati; Chloroflexota
Description: Chloroflexi bacterium partial 16S ribosomal RNA
Rfam family: Bacterial small subunit ribosomal RNA
Source: RNAcentral